UGAGAAUAUAGAGCUGACAGUUAGUACCUUCUCCGUGACUGGUUUGGUAUCAUUGGCCCAAACAGUGUCCAAGCUAAAACUAUUUGUCCAUGAUGGAACUACCCCAGCCUUUGGCGGCUGUGGGAGAAACAGCUGUUUCAGUUUGACUUGCUAAAACCAUGAACUCCACUUUGCCAGAAGUGGGGUUUCCUGGUGAAUAGUUCCAGAUUUUGCCAGCUGGGAGUGAACACAUAUUUGGCCACCUGCUGGAGCACGAACGACCAAGAGGAGACCAGAUGAGUUUUCAGAGCAGUGCUCAGACACCCAGGACGCAUGUCAUCCUUUGCCUCGCGCUUUCUGCAAUGUUGCUGCUCACCUUCAUCUUCCUCUUAACCCUCGCCAUAAUUAUCUCCUCCUGACCGCCUUUUCUCCAUUUGUCAUCCACUCAGCUCUUUCUCUGAGCCGUCCCUCCCAUGGGACAUGGCUUUGUCUCUGGAGAGCUCCCCUUUGAAUCAUAUCCAGGUGGCUACCAUUAUUUCCCUUUUCUUCUGUCUCCUCCUCACCCCAGACUCAGCUAACACUUAGUCCCUUGAUCAGGAAAACCUGAGAAAAACCUCCCUCUUCUUAAAUGAAGUCACAAGAUUCUCUGCCAGAGCCAUCACACUCAGGGAAGAGACCCAAAAUAUAGCUGAGUGUGAUGUCAUUAAAACCGGAUGGGAAGACCAGAAAUCCCUUAAUCCCAUUGAGACCUAGUGAAGGAGCUUUAUUCAUGACUGUUGGGAUUGAUUAAGGAUAUGGGGGCAGGGAGGAGGAGAGGGAGAAAGAUGUUCUGAAUUGAAUUGCCCCUUAAUAUAGAAUGGAAUCCCCUAGAUUUUUUUCUCCAAUUAAAUGUGCAUUUCAUUCUA
Long non-coding RNA from Myodes glareolus (Bank vole), 884 nucleotides. RefSeq lists it as uncharacterized. NCBI's taxonomy places the organism in Eukaryota, Metazoa, Chordata, Mammalia, Rodentia, Cricetidae. The record is from RefSeq and is a predicted model, not a curated record.